GCGGGCGUAGCAAUACGUCAGCGGCAGACGGGUGAGUAACGCGUGGGAACGUACCUUUUGGUUCGGAACAACACAGGGAAACUUGUGCUAAUACCGAAUAAGCCCUUACGGGGAAAGAUUUAUCGCCGAAAGAUCGGCCCGCGUCUGAUUAGCUAGUUGGUGGGGUAACGGCUCACCAAGGCGACGAUCAGUAGCUGGUCUGAGAGGAUGAUCAGCCACAUUGGGACUGAGACACGGCCCAAACUCCUACGGGAGGCAGCAGUGGGGAAUAUUGGACAAUGGGCGCAAGCCUGAUCCAGCCAUGCCGCGUGAGUGAUGAAGGCCCUAGGG
This 330-nucleotide ribosomal RNA is filed under the name uncultured bacterium. RNAcentral describes it as "bacterial SSU rRNA". It matches the Rfam family "Bacterial small subunit ribosomal RNA", at positions 66 to 422 of the family's 1533-position model. The record is from RNAcentral.